RNAcentral lists this ribosomal RNA (253 nucleotides) under uncultured bacterium. RNAcentral describes it as "partial 16S ribosomal RNA". It matches the Rfam family "Bacterial small subunit ribosomal RNA", at positions 524 to 776 of the family's 1533-position model. The record is from RNAcentral.
AACGUAGGAGACAAACGUUAUCCGGAGUUACUGGGCGUAAAGGGCGUGCAGGUGGUCUGUUAAGUCUGGCGUGAAAGCUCUCGGCUAAACCGGGAGAGGUCGUUGGAUACUGGCGGACUAGAGGACGGUAGAGGCGUGUGGAAUUCCGGGUGUAGUGGUGAAAUGCGUAGAGAUCCGGAGGAACACCAGUGGCGAAGGCGACACGCUGGGCCGUACCUGACGCUGAGGCGCGAAGGCGUGGGGAGCGAACGGG